RNAcentral lists this ribosomal RNA (396 nucleotides) under uncultured bacterium. RNAcentral describes it as "partial 16S ribosomal RNA". It matches the Rfam family "Bacterial small subunit ribosomal RNA", at positions 360 to 774 of the family's 1533-position model. The record is from RNAcentral.
AAUAUUGCACAAUGGAGGAAACUCUGAUGCAGCGACGCCGCGUGAGUGAAGAAUGUUUUCGGAUCGUAAAACUCUGUCUUUGGUGAAGUUAAUGACGGUAGCCAAGGAGGAAGCUCCGGCUAACUACUUGCAAGUAGCCGCGGUAAUACGUAGGGGGCGAGCGUUGUCCGGAUUUACUGGGCGUAAAGGGUGAGUAGGCGGUUAUAUAUGUCAGAUGUAAAAGGCUAUGGCUUAACCAUAGUUAGCAUUUGAAACUGUAUGACUUGAGUGCAGGAGAGGUAAGUGGAAUUCCUAGUGUAGCGGUGAAAUGCGUAGAUAUUAGGAGGAACACCAGUGGCGAAGGCGAAUUACUGGACUGUAACUGACGCUGAGUCACGAAAGCGUGGGUAGCAAACA